This 520-nucleotide ribosomal RNA is filed under the name Betta cf. smaragdina 2 BOLD:AAA5092. RNAcentral's name for it is "partial 16S ribosomal RNA". It matches the Rfam family "Bacterial large subunit ribosomal RNA", at positions 1851 to 2571 of the family's 2925-position model. The record is from RNAcentral. Lineage: Eukaryota; Metazoa; Chordata; Actinopteri; Anabantiformes; Osphronemidae.
GGUCCCGCCUGCCCUGUGAUAAUUAUUUAACGGCCGCGGUAUUUUGACCGUGCAAAGGUAGCGCAAUCACUUGUCUUUUAAAUGAAGACCUGUAUGAAUGGCUUGACGAGGGCUUAACUGUCUCCUUUUUCCAGUCAAUGAAAUUGAUCUUCCCGUGCAGAAGCGGGGAUAUAACCAUAAGACGAGAAGACCCUAUGGAGCUUUAAACUAAAGCAGAUCUUGUUAAACGCAUCUAAUUAAAGAAAUAAACUUAAAAGAACCCUGUCAUUUAUGUUUUUGGUUGGGGCGACCAUGGGGAAACAAACAACCCCCAUGUGGACUGAGAAAACAGUUCUCACAACAAAGAGCCACAGCUCUAAUUAACAGAACUUCUGACCUUNGAGAUCCGGCAAUGCCGAUCAACGGACCCAGUUACCCUAGGGAUAACAGCGCAAUCCCCUUUUAGAGUUCAUAUCGACAAGGGGGUUUACGACCUCGAUGUUGGAUCAGGACAUCCUAAUGGUGCAGCAGCUAUUAAGGG